Molecule: long non-coding RNA, 11870 nt
Organism: Passer domesticus (house sparrow)
Lineage: Eukaryota; Metazoa; Chordata; Aves; Passeriformes; Passeridae
Exons: 2
Source: RefSeq, a predicted model, not a curated record
AAGGGCAAAGCUGUGUUCUUACUUUUUACAAGCUGGUUGGGAGGAUGUGAAUGAUUUUAUUGGAUCAGAUCAAAGGCCUGUUAAAAGUCUCUGUAUUCCAGAGACUUUUAGUGGAAAUAUAAAGGCUUUUAUGAAUGAAACACCUGCAGAAUUGUAUGUGUGUGAAGCCAGCAUAAGAAACAUCAGGACAAGGGUUGAAAGGAUGCUGCAUGUUAUUGUGAAAAGCCACAUUUCUCUGGGAAGCUGUCCUUGGCUGUAAAAUUAGGAUGGUGUGCUUGGCAAUGCAUGCACUCUGGUAAGCUGCAGCAUGAAUGAUUCAUCAGGAGCAGACCCUGCUCCUGAAGUGCACAAGGCAGGUUACAGGAUUGUGUCUCAUAUCUUAUGUGCCAUUUGUUUUCCUGUUACUCCACCAUGAAUCAGUCAUGGAGAGAGAGACAAUGAGCAGCAGUCUGCUGUUUAUUGAGGCUGCAGUAAGUAGAAUUCUGGAGCAAAGGACCACCCCAUCAACAGCUGUUGACUCCUGAAGGGUGUAAAACAUUUUUCCAAAAUCUAGUUCAUGAAUAAUGUCAGAGGUGUGGUGAGGCCUUGAUAGCUGGCAGCGUUCAUCCUUGGUGUUGUACCCAAAUGGGUUUUCCCCAGAUGCUUGUUGGGAAUCCAGGGUAUGGGAAUGUGAGUAGGUGGAACCUGGGAGAGAGGGAGUGAGACUUAGAGAUUUUGUGAAUAGCCAUCACUUUCUCUAGCAGUGCACUGAGUUUUGUCAUACUGAUUUUUCCCACAGAUUGUGACAGUGCCCAAUAGCAGACAGGUAGGGGAACAGAAGACAGCUCUGUGUGUGUACUGACACAUUCCAGAAUAUCUCUUCCAAGCUGAAAACCCCUGACCUCUGUUUAUUCCUCAGGUGGAAGUGAUUCCAUGCUGGUGUUUAUCCUUGACAGUCAUAUUUUUGUAACUUUUUUCAGUUAUUUUUGACUACACCUGUAUGUGAGAUUAUUUGAAAUGUGCUCGGUAGGGUAUGGAGAUGAAGGCAGUGGAUUAUUAUGACAGGACUUAUUUGGUACCACAGAUGUAGAACUGGAAAUGCCUGUCACUGAAUCCAAGAGCUGAUAUCCCAAGUUACUGCAUAAUCUAUAACAUUCUGUUUUCCAUCGAAAAUCCACACUAGCAAGGCUGGCUGUGCAAAGAUCAGAGGUUUGCCUAACCAGGGGCUCAGGACAUGUCCGAGGAGAUGUCCACAGAAGAGUUCAGGAACAGAAUCACUUGAUGUAGCUGAAUGCUACUCUGGGGAUUUGGGGGUUUAAAUUUUUGCCCUUUUUGUUUUUCUGUUGAAGUGAGUAGCUGGAGACAUUAUUUUCUAUCUACAUAAUCUCUUUCUAUCUGUAAAUGGAUUGUUAUCAAGCCUUUAAAGCUUCUUAACUAACUCAAAUGUUACAUUUUAUUCACAACGUGUGAAUUGCAUAGACAAAUACAAAUAAUGCAUUUCUAGAAAUCAAACUAGGGUUUUAAAAUGAAUAUCUGGACCACAACUCUGAAUUUCUGUACACUUUGCUGAGCUACAUUUUCACUUGAAACAGAAGAAGGAAAAUAGCUUGCUUUGCAGUGCCUAGUUGUGUUCAAAGCAGAAUAAUGAGGUGAAGAUUACCACGAGUCUACUUUCAUGCUCUUCUCAGCCCAGGCAGUGCUCAGUGAGUCUGAGUGUGAUUAAUGUUUAUUCACUGAUUGCUCUUUGAGUAGUUUACUGAAGAGGGAGUGGGUUUUGGUGAGAAUGAGUUAGCAGUGGAAGGUGGCAUGAAACAAGAGGGAAAUGAAAGGGAUACGACUGCAGUGUAAUUUGUUCAUUUAGGGUAGCUUUCUUGAAAUCCCAUUAUCACCACUUUAGCUGCUAUUUGAUUGCUAGAAAAUAUAUUAUUUGGUAAAUAAACUUCCUAUAGAUGGGAGCAACCCUGAUGCUACUUUGGUAAAACUGGGUAAUACUUAUGGUAGGAUGCACUGGAUGCUGAUGGUAAAACUCAAAUAUUUAGAAGACCUUUUGAUAAGAUCCUUCUAAGAGAAGCACACACUUCCCUUGGGAGAGGCUGUGGUGGCUCUACUUGCAGUCCCUUCCUGUGGUCCCAGCAACUGCAGGAGGAUCUGCUCUUUGAAGAAGGAGGAGUGUGGUCUUGCUCAUCCCUUACCUGAGCUAAAGUCAGAGGAAAACUUGUGUUCCUUAUCUCGUCUGACAAGUGCUGCCUGUCUUUUACUGUGCUUCAUCCUGUAUGAGCCAGAGCUGGUGUUUGGAUUCUUUGUUUUUCUCUUUCUUUUGGACAGAGGCUUGAUAACAGUUUCUGUAUGGUUUUUCUAUGUCAUCUGUUCCUUCAUUUUUGAAACUAGAUCAACUGGCUGAUAUUUGGGUGGCAGUGGCUUAGUUUGGACGAAUAUAAAUAAACUUGAUUAGUGGGCAUGUUGACACGUGUUUGUCUUCAGAUGAUUCAAAAAGCACAGGGUGAUAUUUUUCCUAGGUACCUCUUUAAGGUUUCUUUGCAGCAAUGUGUGCUGCUGCCCUUACCUCAGAACUGCCUGGUGGUGUCUCUGCUGUGUUGGUAAUUUUACAGGGGUUCAGAUUUGUGUUUUAGCUUUCACCUUGAGUUUACAGUUCUGUUGUUACUGUUUUGUUGAUAGUGAAACUUACAGACAAGGCAUCUAAAUGUUGAUUAAAAUUGUUGAAAAGGUAGCAACUUGGUAAGCCAAAUAUCCUGAUAAACCCAUAUGACAUUUUCUGCACCAGGCAACUCAUUUCUUGCUGCAUUUGCCUUUUAUAUUUAAGUUUUGCAUUAUAAACAACAAGGAAAAAAAGAAAGGUUUAAAAUUCUUUUUUUCCUCUAUGGAAUUGCUUAAUGAAAAUUUUUAGAAGGACCAAAUGCUUUAAGUGUUACCUUCAUUAAUGGUUUAAAGCUACUUGCCUAGUGAAACAGGAAACCUUGUCUUUAGGAAGGAUGAGAUGAUUUUUGAUACAAGUAGAGAAAUGUUUUUUGAGCUGUGCUGUUAGCUCAGUUACCAAAGUCUGAAGAAAACUAACUAAUUAAGGAUAAAUGGACAUUUUUUUCUUCACCUGGAACUAAGUAGUCUAAAAAUGUUUCAAAUGGGAGUGAUGAAGUUUGUCAAGUGACCUUUUAGGUAGAAAUGGGCUGUUGUUAAGUGAACCUCGCUGCUAAUCCGCUCUGUGUGUCGCAGGGUGAUGAAGCUGCUCUGCUGGGAUUUUCACGUGGGAGUAGCAGGGUACAGCCAUCAGGGACCGGUCACAGGAGCAGAAAGUUGUCCUUGCUCAGAAGGAGGGGUCUGCAGCCCCUGGCUCGGCAGGCUGUGGGUGCAGCCGGCAGGGACGGGUGACCAUCCCCGGCCGGCACAGCAGAGGGCACUGCUGGUUUCCAGAUGCCGCAGCCAAAGCUGCACGUUUGAGGGGUUUCCUAUUUAAUUCCUUGAAUACCGUGUCGGAAGGGAAAGCAUCUGUUAAGAAGAAACCUAACUGAUUAUGUCUAAAGUUCAGAUAGAAGGGAUUGGAUUGGUAUUAGUACAUUAUAAUAUCUAAUUUGUGAAAGAGAGAGAUUAGAAAUUAUUCUUCCAGUCACAUGCAUGUUUUUAAAUUAACUUAGCCACAGGUUCUUUGCUGAAAGGAUUAGUAAAUUUGAGGAAGGUGUCUGUGUAUUUAAAUGUCACUCUUUAAAAAAAAUAAAAUCUCAGUACUCAUUAAGAAAGAAAAUAAAAAAAAAAUCAUAGGUCAUAUAAAUAACUGUUUCAUCUGUUUAUGUUUUAGGGGAGAAAUUAAAAACUAAAACACAAAGUGACAAUUUAAAAGGAAUGUAUUACAUUUCUGAAAGCUACAUGGGUGUCUUUGUAAAGAAAGUGUAGUUGACUUUUUGUGCAGUAUCUGGGCAUCCUCAGGUUAAAAUAGUGUGUGACACUGGAUGUUUUGAAAUAAAAUAGUAAAAAAAUAUUAAAAUUAUUUUAAUCUAAUAAUUAAUGGGAACUAUUUCUCUCAAUCUAUCUUCCCGCCUAGGUUAACAUCUAGAAGAUAAUUUCCCUGAAGUUGCAGUUAUUUGAGAGCAAAAAUACUAAUUACUAUUUAGUGCAAUUUUCACUUGUAAUUUUCGUAAUGUAAUACUUCUUAGUAUACCCAGAAUCUUUGUGUGACUGGAGUGCUUUACUAGUGCUAGUAAAUAACAUUCUUUGUUUGAUUACAAAUAUGACAGCAUUCUAUAAAACCUAUAUGCCAGGCACAGACGUCACUGUUUUGGGUGGAUUAUCUUCUGGCCAGCAUUCAGGUGCUGGAAACUGCGGCUAACUGAGAGAGGGACAUGCCAGUUGUGGGGUUUGUGGGAUCUGGAAGUUUCUCUUGAUUUCCUUUGCCAGAUUGUAAUUCUGUGUUUGAGAAGCUUGCGUUAUGUGUGCUCAUGCUAUGCUGUGAACUCGUCCUGGUGCUUUCAGGUUUGUGCUAAAUAAGGACUAUGUCACAGCCUUCUCAGCAUCCUCUCAGCUGGAUCUGCUUGAAAUGCAGGUUUGUAUUACAGUAGGAAUCAACCUGUUUGUCCUUCUUCUGACCUCUGUGGAGGAGCAGUUCUGUCUUGUGCAUGCUCUGGCUGAGGCACCAAAACUUGUCUGUUCUGACUUGGAUUUGUCCCAGCUGAAGGCUGGGUCAGUCAGAUGACCUGCUUUGCAUGUGACAGAAGUGCUUGCACGACAGGAUUUUGUCAAACUCGCCCAGAGUGACACUCUGGAAGGAAGCAGACAGGACUUCUGAUGUUGGGCAACAGAAGAAUGAUGCAUGCUGCCCUUUGGAGGACUUAAUUAUAGUACAGUAACACUGUCACUGCUGCCUGUCACAGCCAUGUACUCAGGGACACAAAUCCAUGUGGGAAGGCCCUUAGUCCUUGGCUGACUUGAGGAAGAUGAAGAUCACAGCUCUGGAGGAGUUCUCUCUGGAGCUUGCUCCCUCAGAUAGCUCUGGGCUGGCGAGUUGGUUGCUUUGGCAUUGCUGGGGGUCCAUGCGUGGUAGGUGAUAUACCCUUGAUGACUGGCUUUCAUAGUGAAAUCCCCAAAAUUAAACUGUCUUGGGACUGCCAGUGUCAUGGAGAAAAGGAAGUGCAUGGCAGCUGCCUGGGCUUGAUUGACUGCGAGUGAGAUAUCUGGAAGAAGGUGCAUGCAACCAUAAUGUGACAGUUAAAUAGGAAUUGAAAUCCUUCCUAGUGGUUACUAUUAUCAACAGGAUAUUUGCAUCCCCUGCUGCUGUGGGAGAGCCCAGUUAUUCUGCUAUUAUGACUAUUGAAACAGCAUACUGUCCCCCAGGAACCUGGAAAAAAAAGAAGUGCCUGGAAGAGCAGGGUAGUGAUAAAUGGAGAAAGGCAGAUACUGGGCUCAAAACACCAUGGGCUGUUCUCAGGACUGUGUGUGCUCAUCUGGUUAGAUUUUCUUUUUGGCAUAAUCCAUUGCAGUAGGUUCACCCACUUUCUGUGAUUUAGAUGCUAAUGUUCUAUUUGUUUGCUAUAAAGUUACCCUUGAAAGAAAUAUAUGGAUAAAUACUUCAUGUUUUAAAUUCUAUAUAGAAGUUAUUUAAUUUCAAGAAAAAACAAGCUGCUUUAUUGUGACUAAAUUCUGUGCUAUUUUGUGUUGUGAAAUAAAAUCUUAGCUCAGCGUUGUUUAGUAAAUGAUCCACCUGGCUAGUCAACAGCAUAUUUUCAAAGCAGCAUUUGAAAUUCUUUAUGAAAGUCUUGUUUUGCAGUUUCUUUGCUCUGUAUCCAGUCAAAAUGUGAAGAUAAAUGGAAAACCUUCCUUUUACUACAAACACAAAGAAGCUGGUAUUGAGUCAACCAGUGCAGCAGAUUGUACAUUUAUAAGACAUGUUGGGCUGGAGACGAUCACUGGGGCCAUGUAGGCUGACUUUGACUGACAUAAGGCAGUGAAUUUCAGCCAGAGACUUUUGCAUUUACCCUAGCAAGCAUGUCUUUCAGGUAAAUUUGUGGAUUUGAAAAUUGGUAAAUACCCUUUGCUCUUGUGAGACCCCACCUGGAGUACUCCAUCCAGUUAUGGGGUCCCCAGUAUUUGAAAGAUGGAGUGAAUCCAGGGGAGGCCACAAAAAUGAUAGCAGGGCUGGAGCACUGCUGCUAUGAAGAAAACAGGCUGAGGGAGUUGGGGUUGUUCAGCCUGCAGAAGAGAAGGCUCUGGGAAGACCUUUCUGUGCACUUUCAACAUAAAGUAAAAAGUCCCUCUCAGCCUUUAUUAGUAGGGCCUGUAGUGGUGGGGGCAAUGGUUUUAAACUGGAAGAGGGUGGCUCUACGUUGGACAAAAGGAAGAACGGUGGGGGUGGUGGAGCACUGGAAUAGGAAGCUGUGGAUUUCCCAUCCCUGGAAGUGUUCAAGGCCAGAUUGGAUGGGCCUCUGGGCAGCUGGAUCCAGUGGCAGAUGUCGCUGCUCAUGGCAGAGGCCAUUAGGACUAGGUGGCCUUUAAGGUCCCUUCCAGCCCAAACCAUUCUGUGGAAAAAUAUCAGUCGUAAUAUGUGUGUGUAAGAAAGCAACAUCCAUCCAAGUUUCUAUUCCAGUGUUACCUUUGGUGUUUUCAGCCUUUGAGGGCAGUUGGAUAUCCAGUUGAUGUAACUAUCUAAAUGGGAUUUCCUAGAGGCUUUUUAUUAGUGUUAUUUUAGUUUUUUUAGGUCUAAAUUGAUAACUAAGUAGGAUAUUCUUCAUAUUCCAGUGCUUAUAGCUUGGAUGAUUUCAAAUGGAGUGGUAAGAGCAGCUCUAAGUUUGCAACUAAGAUUUAAAAUACUGUCAGAUUGUUUUGUCCAAGUUGCAAAGAAGGCUUAUGGAGUAUUUCAUGCUGUCUGAGAUAUUCACAGGGGAGAGGGUGCUUUCCUCCAGAGAGUUCAGUUCAGUAUGCUCACAGGUAUGCUGGGACUUUGUGACUUCCAGCACGUGUGCAGCAGGCACUACAAGAUUUUACCUUCAUGCCAGCAAUGAGGGUGGAAUUCUGUGCUCCUUAAAGCCUAAUUCUGAAGUAUGAACCAAAACAAGGACUCAGGGCUUUCAUGAGGGGGAUUUUACAAAAUACUAUUAGGCUUUGACAAUAAAAUCUAAAAUCCACUAAAAAUCUUAAUAUCAGGAGGGAAGUUGAAGUAAUGCUUUGCCAAAACACUUAGUUACUGCUCCUCAUCAAGGGAUGGUUCAAUGCCUCAUUUCAGCUUCUUCCAACCUUUUUAGCUGACAACUUUUGUGUGGUUUGCAUUUUAGAAUAAAACCAUAUUUCUUCACUGUGCUGAGGAGAGUGUAUGGAUGUUCCACUUUUGAUUGAAACAGCAGAAGUUUGCUUUGCUUACUGGUCAUUCUUUAGGGGUACUUGCAGUUUUAAAAUUAUAGUAUGAAAUAACUCUGGACAAUUAAAACCUGAAGUAUGCAAAGUUUUUGACAGUUAAUAAAAAUUUAAUAAAGAAUGAAUACAUAGCAGUCAAUUUACCUCAUCCUCUUAUAGGCAAAACAGAGCUGUUUCCCUUGCUUUUUCUCAUCAUAAAAUCAGAAAGAUUUUUUUUCCCUCCAAAUGCUACGGGUUUGGAGGAGAAUCUGGUGCUUACCAUGUUCUUCUUGAAUAUCAUUUCUGUAGUACCACAUUGUAUCAAAAAGUGGUUCUGUUUUCUUCUCCCCUCUCCUACUUUUUUCAAAACUUUACUUUAAAAAGUUGAGUACAAAUACCAUCUGUGUUUAUUUGCAAACUAUAGAAUUAAGAGUUUUCUACCACUGUUGGUGCAAUUCAAAUCAUUACUCAAACUGAGAAGAAAUGAAGGAAUAUGGUGUCUGCUGGAACUCUUAGUUACACUGUUAUUUCUUCUACUGGCCUGUAGAUAUUAUAAUAAUAAUAAUUAAUUAAUUAUAAAUAAUUAAUAUUAGACUAGAUCCUUAUAACUAAAAUAAUUCCCUUAUAGAAUUCAUAACAUGCUAGCUGGUGUGGAAGUGUUGUCUUCAUGGAAAUUUAGCCUUGAAUAACUGUUGCAUAGGACAUGAUUAAUAUGAAGCUUUUUAUAAAUAUCGUGUAUAUAUACAUAUAUAUAUAUGUGUGUGUGUGUGUGUGUAUCUUGUAAAUAUCUAGCAGGGAAACUUCCAGUUUUUUCCUCGACUGCUUUCAAAGCUCUUCUUCGUGACUUUGCAGUCAUUAAACUUAGAUUUUUCCCUAAAUGACUGCUUUGAAUAACAAAUCCUUGUUUUAUGCUUUCUGUUUGGACUCUUUACUUCAGUAGUUUUAUUAAAUCUUGCUUUUGUUUAAGCUUCAUUCAGUAUUUAGUCUUCAAAACCUUUUGUUAACAAGAAGUUUAAAUCAGUUCUUCACUUUAAUCUUUAUUCCACAGAAUAAAGUGGAAAAGUCUCUUGUUUAAAGGAAACUGAAGAGGUCUUCCCUGUCUUUGUGGUUGCCCACUUUGGGUUGUAAAUUGAAUCUGUGGGGAAACAGCAUAAACUUCAGUUUUUUGAUUUUUUUUUUCAUUGGAACAAAACCUCAGGCCACUCACUGGGGAGGAAAAAGCUGUGUUCUUGGGAGGAUAAAUGUAAAACAGAGAGUAGACUUUAAAGAAUAGACUCUGUCUUCAUGCUGUCUUUGGUUAUACUUGUGCCUGUGCUGUAUGUGGCAAGAUGUGCUGUUAUUUAUGAAUAUUAGUAGGUGAAUUUUAUGGCUUUUAUAUUUAGUUAUGUUAUGCUAGGUAAAUUCUGUGUCCUUGUUUAUUCUUGUAUAGCUCUGCCUAAUCUGAUCUUCCUAUUUUCUACUCUGUUCAUGGUUUCACCUGUCUGUUUUAUCCAUAAAUAUGCGGAGUUUUUUAAGUAAUAGUAUCUUAAAAUUUUCAUUGGUACAUAUUGCAGAAUUAAACAUUUGGCUUCAAAAAAAUUUUAAAAUAGCCUUAUACAUUUUUGAAGCACUGGCAUCAUGCUGCUGUUUAUUUUCUGUGUUGUCUAUGUGUAUGAGUGGCAUAGAUUACCGAGCAAUUUACAGAUUGUCUUCCUUAAUACUGCACAAGAUGAAUGUCUUUGGCAAAUAAGAGAAUAACAAGUAAUUUGAUACUUUUUUUCCAAUGGUUUUCAAAUACUAGAAUAGAGAUGGAGAAGAGAUGGUUCCUGUCUUUGCAUUACUGUUCACAUUCAAGUCCAAAAGAUGCUCUUGAGUUAUAUUUCAUCUUAGACUUCUGAUUUCAUAGAAUCAUAGGAUGACCUGAGUUGGAAGGAACCUUAAGGAUCAUCUAGUUCCAACCCUCCUUCCAUGGGCAGGGACACCUUCCACUGUACCAGGUAUCUCAGAGCCCUGUCCAAGCUGGCCUUAAGCACUUCCAGGGAUGGGGAAUUCACAGCUUCUCCAUUCUUCCAUGGCACUACAGAAUACAAACAAGUCAUGUAAUGUACAAGUAUUGGUUAGAUUUUAUUCCUCUUUAUUGUUUACUGUUUGCUGUUAUAUCUGUUGAAUAAUAAACAAGUAGGUGAACCCCUGAAGAACUAUAGUUUGUGUUGUGUGGAAAAGUAAUGGUAGGCACAAAUCUUCUCCAAAGGAGUAGGUUGUAUAAUACUGUAGUUAGUUCUGUAUACUGACGUGUCACUAAUGGUUUUCUGGAUCUCAGGAUGUAUCUAAGCUGUGGGACAUGGUUUAAAAAACCAAGGAAGGAAAAAAACCCAGUUAUGUGUCACCUUGUCCCUUGGGUAGAAGUACAGUUGGUAGAGACCCAAGGUGGGCAGUGCAGGAUGUUUUGCUCAGUGCAGAAUUACUUCAGAAGAGACAAAAUGUCUGUGACUACUUGAGGUGUGGAGGUUUAGUGGAAAUGCUGUCUUGAUAGAUAAUGGCUGUACAGUAAAAUGAGCCUGAAUAGUCAAAGCUUAGUUGGUUUUUAAGAAAUGUAGCUCAGGCAUGUACUAGAUGUUGGCUGUAUUUUUUGACUAAGUAAGUAAUAAAUGUUAAUAUCCAUUCUAACACUUUAAAAAUAUUUUUCCCUAAACUUUUUUUCCCUACUAAUAUGGGAAGCAGAGUUUUUUCUUUGGAAAAGCUCCAAGAAUCACUGUUUACUGCUAGGCACAAAGUUGUGAACAUGAACAAAGUUGAAGGUGGAGAAGCUACAUGAACUUACUUGGUCAAGGGGAGACUGAGAGCUGUUCAUCCCUGAAAUGAGUUAAAGGCAUGAUGCCUAAAGUUUGAGUGGUUAUAUUCUGGGAGGAGAAUAAGAUACAUGGAGCUUCUCAAGAAGGACUCAACCAGCAUUAGAACAAAUAGUUUAAUAUAUAAAAAGAAGUCAGCACCUAGAGAAGACACUUUGAGAUGCAAUUGCUUGUAUGCUUAUAUGUUAAAAUUUCAGUCACUGUAGUCAUGCCAGUUCACUUCCUGCUUCUCAUGAGUGUUUGUUUCUUGGGAUAACAUCAGUAUCAGGGAAACUGUGUUGGUGAAAACAAAGCUUGAUGGUUAUUCUUUGAUAAAUUCAGGAGAGUUCUCAAGUCAAUGCUUCUUGGGCUUCUUCUGGAUGGAAGGCUGCUAACUGUUGGAUGUCAGAUUUUGUGGUGUAGUGUCUGAGCUGGUCCUGCUGUCUUUAAGGUGAUAUUCUUCUGCAUGAUGGAGUUCUGACUUAAAUACAGAUUGUUGCUUUCAAGUAAAAAGUAGUAAAAGAAGAAAUUUAGUAAGUAAACUGCAUGAAUCUCUAUGACCUGUUACCCUAGUAAUGCCUUCAAUGCUUAACAAAAUUCUGGGAUUUAGGUUUCUAUCUAAGCAACAGUGCACACCUCCAAUAAUUAUAAGGUAUGGAAAAUUAAAGUUUGCUGGGCUAGUAGAUAGUAGAAAUUUUUACAUUGCUUGUUGAAAUAAGUGCAUUAUCAAUAUAUACUUGUUUUGUGGGGAGCUUAAUAUGUUGAGUUUUGUUUUAAUAUUCUUUAUAGCAGAUUCCAGUCAUCUUUCCUAAGUAAAAUAGUCCGUGUUGAAAAUUAACUCAGGAGAUUAUCUGUUCACAGCCCUUGUUCCAAGCUGGAUAUACUUAGCUGAGGUUGCUCAAGGCCUUUUCCAGUCCCAUUUUGGAUAUCUAAGCUAUUGGGGCCCUUGGCUAUUGAGGAUUCACAUUAACUUAUUACUGCAUGUUGGUUUUUCCAUUUUGUUGUUUCGUGUAAUUAAGUUUGGACAGAAAGGUCCAUCUAGCUAGGGAGGACAGUGCUGAGGAAAACCAAUUUGAUAGUUACAGAGGGUUGUGUUCUUUGCAUGCUGCUAGAUGUUAAUAUGUCAUUCACCCCUUAAUUGUAGCAAUCAGAUUGCCAAUCUCCCAUCUCUCCUCAUCUGUAUCUCUCACAUUCCAGUGUGCAUUCUACUUGCCUUUGCAAGCAGACAUAAAGCAUGUAGCCUGUGUUUUCAGAUAUUUUGCUCAGUGGGUGGGAUAGGGCCACCCUGCUUGUACAGUCAUAGGCUUUGCUCCACAAAUAGUAUGUUGCAUUCCUCCAUUGCAGUUACUUCUUUUGUUUGGAUCCUACUGGGGUUUAAGUCUAUGACUUUUCCCACUCUGUGGUUAAUAUGUAUCAUCUUGGAGAGUUCUGUUUCUGAAAGAGCUGCUGCUUUUUUGUUGAACUGUGCACAUUGAAAGUGGUUGGUAUCCAAAUAUGUACAAAAAAUACUUUAAAAUCCAGAAAUUAGAAGGAAAAUUAAACAAAUUUGGCAUUUAAGGAGGAGGAGGGUGAAAAAAAGCCUUUAUACUUCAGGUAGUUGAAAAAAAUGUACUAUUUGUGCUUCUAAAUUUUGUAAUAAUCUCCAGUUUUUUGUGACUUGACAUGUUAUCAGUGCAUCAUCUAUCAGAGCUGCAUGGCCAGCACUCCUUGAGAAUCAGAAAAGUAAAGUGCUUAAUAAAGAGUGUUGCCCUGUUA